AUGUCAUGGAUUGUGGAGUCCCUUUCUUAUAAAUUUCCUGAGCUUCAUUCCUUUGCUAUAAAUGAUCUAGUCUCUGUAGCCAGUGUUGCCUCUGCAGAUAGUCUGUUUGAUCUUUUCCACAACCCAUUGUCAGUACAAGCAUAUAGCCAACUCAAUGAGCUUCAGACAGUUAUGCCAGAUAUUUCUAGCUCAGCUAAGGACUGUUGGAUUAGCAAUGGUUCUGAUUUGAGGUACUCCUCUAUUCAAAUGUACUCUGCUUUGAUGGGAACAAACAAAUCACACCUUUUGUUUCAAAAUAUGUGA
Molecule: ribosomal RNA, 303 nt
Filed under: Triticum aestivum (bread wheat)
Lineage: Eukaryota; Viridiplantae; Streptophyta; Magnoliopsida; Poales; Poaceae
Description: partial small subunit ribosomal RNA
Source: RNAcentral